Molecule: ribosomal RNA, 301 nt
Filed under: uncultured bacterium
Lineage: Bacteria
Description: partial 16S ribosomal RNA
Rfam family: Bacterial small subunit ribosomal RNA
Source: RNAcentral
CAGUAGCCGCGGUAAUACGUAGGGUGCAAGCGUUAUCCGGAAUUAUUGGGCGUAAAGAGCUCGUAGGCGGUCUGUCGCGUCUGCUGUGAAAACUGGGGGCUCAACCCCCAGCCUGCAGUGGGUACGGGCAGACUAGAGUGCGGUAGGGGAGAUUGGAACUCCUGGUGUAGCGGUGGAAUGCGCAGAUAUCAGGAAGAACACCGAUGGCGAAGGCAGAUCUCUGGGCCGUAACUGACGCUGAGGAGCGAAAGCAUGGGGAGCGAACAGGAUUAGAUACCCCCGUAGUCCCUGUCUCUUAUAC